This 838-nucleotide long non-coding RNA is filed under the name Homo sapiens (human). RNAcentral's name for it is "non-protein coding lnc-SPATA31D4-1:4". The record is from RNAcentral. Lineage: Eukaryota; Metazoa; Chordata; Mammalia; Primates; Hominidae.
AUCCCGGCCCCUCCUCCGCCAGCCGCGUCCUCCCGGGCUUGGUGAGGAACUGUUCCUGGAGGAGCCGCGGGACGCCAAAACCAGCCAAUGGGAAGCGGCGAUUCGCGGAGAUUGGCACUGAUGAUGGGAAGCAAUGAUAAGGAAACUAAACUGGAUUAAGUGCUAUCAUCUUGGAGGUGCAAAGGCAAACAAGGAGAAAGAAGUGAUUGAAGAGCACUUCAGAAAGCUUGGUACAUUCAAAUCAGCAGGGCUUGAUUACUCGCAUCCCAGGACACUUAAGGAAUUGGCAAAUAUAAUUGCAAGACCACCAGCCUUUAUUUUAGAAAAUGAAGGUUGGACAGAAGAAGGUCCUGACAAGUAAAAUCAGCAGAUGGAGUACCUGUUUUUUAAAAGAGGGAAAAGGACAGCUGUAGUAAUUAUAGACUAUUCAGUUUAUCUUGGAUACCUGGGAAGAUACAAGAGCAAAUCAUCAAACAAUCAAUUUGCAACCACCUAGAAGAGUACAAGCUACUGGGUCGUAAUCAACGUGAUUUUGUGAAGUGCAAAUUAUGCCACACCAAUUUAAUUUUAUCUAUGAUAGAGUGAUGAGCCUGGCAGAAGAGGGGAAAGCAAUAUCUACAACUGGACUUCAAUAAGGAAUAUUGAUCUCAGCGUUACUUUGACCAUUAAUGAAUUAUGAUGGCAAUAAGCAAAGAUUCGCACCUCUAGCCUCCGGGGAGCUUAAUCUUCUGCUACAACAUUUGCAUUUGUAAGUCAGCACCUGUGUAAUCUAUAUUCUAUUUGUUAUUCUCCUUUAAUUACAUAUUGGUAGUGGUCCAUUUGCAGGCUGGGAGCAACC